UUUGUUAAUUUUUAAAUAUUUUUGAAUUCACACCUCUUUUAUUUAAUGAAACAGGCCGCAUUCUAUUUUCAGAGAUCCGUUUAAGAGGGGCAAUAGCAUCCUUGUGAGUGCAAUUUUGUUCCCUUAUAUCUUUCCACUUGAUAUCGCCACCACAGCUUGAUGUCAUUCUCUCCGAUGUUGAUGUUUAUUGGAUUAGUCAUAUGAGAAGCUUGAACUCCAGAUGUUGUUGCUGAAGGGCUCUGGAAUGAUCUUGAGCAAGAAUACAUCUUGCUGCAGAACUAUGUUAAAUGGCCUAUUGGUUGGUCUCUUGGUGGUUAUCCUGGUCCUCGGGGACCAUACUACUGUGGUGUUGGUGUUGACGAAGCCUUCGGCAUUGUUGAUGCACAGUAGACGGCAUGCCUGUAUGCCGGUAUGAACAUUAGUGGUAUGAACGGAGAAGUGAUGUCGGGCGAGUGGAAAUUUCAAGCUGACCUUCAGUCGGUAUCUCUGUUGGAGAUGAAUUAUGGGCUGCAGCUCGGUACAAUCUGGAGAGGAUUACUGAGGUUGCUGGAGUUGUGCUUUCAUUCGAUCCUAAAGCCAAUUCAGGUCAAUUUUUAUUUCAUCGUACCCUACUGGAUGCUGCCAGUGUGCAUGUUUUCAGUACUUUUAUCGUCUGAGCUCUCAGGAAAUUAGACUUCUGUUUUGUCAAGAAGAUUGGAAAGGAGCGGGGUGUUAGAGAAUAAUAUAAAUCAUAUC
Molecule: long non-coding RNA, 735 nt
Organism: Populus trichocarpa (black cottonwood)
Lineage: Eukaryota; Viridiplantae; Streptophyta; Magnoliopsida; Malpighiales; Salicaceae
Exons: 4
Source: RefSeq, a predicted model, not a curated record